CCUACGGGAGGCAGCAGUAGGGAAUAUUGCUCAAUGGGGGCAACCCUGAAGCAGCAACGCCGCGUGGAGGAUGAAGGUUUUCGGAUUGUAAACUCCUUUUGUUAGAGAAGAUAAUGACGGUAUCUAACGAAUAAGCACCGGCUAACUCCGUGCCAGCAGCCGCGGUAAUACGGAGGGUGCAAGCGUUACUCGGAAUCACUGGGCGUAAAGAGCGCGUAGGCGGGAUAGCAAGUCAGAUGUGAAAUCCUUUGGCUUAACCAUAGAACUGCAUUUGAAACUGUUAUUCUUGAGUAUGGGAGAGGUAGGUGGAAUUCUUGGUGUAGGGGUAAAAUCCGUAGAGAUCAAGAGGAAUACUCAUUGCGAAGGCGACCUGCUAGAACAUAACUGACGCUGAUGCGCGAAAGCGUGGGGAGCAAACAGGAUUAGAUACCCGUGUAGUC
RNAcentral lists this ribosomal RNA (440 nucleotides) under uncultured bacterium. Its description in RNAcentral is "partial 16S ribosomal RNA". It matches the Rfam family "Bacterial small subunit ribosomal RNA", at positions 338 to 795 of the family's 1533-position model. The record is from RNAcentral.